RNAcentral lists this ribosomal RNA (1482 nucleotides) under uncultured prokaryote. RNAcentral's name for it is "partial 16S ribosomal RNA". It matches the Rfam family "Bacterial small subunit ribosomal RNA". The record is from RNAcentral.
GAUUAGAGUUUGAUCAUGGCUCAGCGCGAACGCUGGCGGCAUGGUUAAAGCAUGCAAGUCGAACGCGAAAGCAACUUCGGUUGCAUGGACAGUGGCGAAAGGGCGAGUAAUACGUUUCUAACGUGCCCAGAGGUCAGGGAUAGCCCAGGGAAACUUGGAAUAAUACCUGAUAACCCCGCGAAAUCGUAUGGUUUUGCGUGCAAAGGUUUACUGCCUCUGGAUCGGGAAACGUCCUAUCAGCUUGUUGGUGAGGUAAAAGCUCACCAAGGCAAAGACGGGUAGCGGGUGUGAGAGCAUGACCCGCCGCAUCGGGACUGAGACACUGCCCGGACUCCUACGGGAGGCUGCAGCGACGAAUAUUCCGCAAUGGGCGAAAGCCUGACGGAGCAAUGCCGCGUGUAGGAUGAAGCGCCUUCGGUGUUAAACUACUGUCAGGGACUAGAACCAACGAUCAGUCCCAGAGGAAGGACCGGCUAAUUCCGUGCCAGCAGCCGCGGUAAUACGGAAGGUCCAAGCGUUAUUCGGAAUCACUGGGCUUAAAGAGUGCGCAGGCUGACUAGCAAGUGUUCUGUGAAAUCCCACGGCUCAACCGUGGAACUGCAGGGCAAACUGCUAGACUUGAGGUAGGUAGGGGAAGACGGAACUAUCGGUGGAGCGGUGAAAUGCAUAGAUAUCGAUGGGAACGCCAAUGGCGAAGGCAGUCUUCUGGGCCUUACCUGACGCUGAUGCACGAAAGCGUGGGGAGCAAACAGGAUUAGAUACCCUGGUAGUCCACGCCGUAAACUAUGUGCACUAGGUCGAGGAGGCUUUGACGCCAUCUCGGACGAAGUUAAAACGUUAAGUGCACCGCCUGGGGAGUACGGUCGCAAGGCUAAAACUCAAAGGAAUUGACGGGGGCUCACACAAGCGGUGGAGCAUGUGGCUUAAUUCGAAGCAACGCGAAGAACCUUAUCCUGGAUUUGACAUGCACGGAUUAGCUCCCAGAAACGGGAGUGACGCUCUUACUGUGGAACGUCGAUAGGUGCUGCAUGGCUGUCGUCAGCUCGUGCUGUGAAGUGUCGGGUUAAGUCCUUUAACGAGCGAAACCCCUGCCGUUAGUUGCUAACAGGUAAUGCUGAGGACUCUAGCGGGACUGCCGGUGUCAAACCGGAGGAAGGUGGGGAUGACGUCAAGUCCUCAUGGCCUUUAUGUCCAGGGCUGCACACGUGCUACAAUGGCGUAUACAGAGCGACGCGAGACCGCAAGGUGGAGCAAAUCGCAAAAAGUACGCCCCAGUUCGGAUUGGGGUCUGCAACUCGACCCCAUGAAGUUGGAAUCGCUAGUAAUCGCGUAUCAGCUACGACGCGGUGAAUACGUUCCUGAGCCUUGUACACACCGCCCGUCAAGUCAUGGAAGCCGGGAGUGCCCGAAGCCGCCCUAAUUCAGGGGUGUCUAAGGUAAGUUCGGUGACUGGGACUAAGUCGUAACAAGGUAGCCGUAAAU